GGAAAAGGAGAAGAACCUCUAACAUUCCCACUGUUGAUCCAGAAUCAACCGGAUUACUGCCACAUUGUGACACAUCCCAUUGACAUGAUGAAGAUCCAGCAGAAGCUGAAGAUGGAGGAGUACGAUGAUGUGGACCAGAUAACGUCUGACUUUCAGCUCUUAUUCAACAAUGCAAAGGCAUACUACAAGGUAAUAUAUCCCUGCCUGUAAUAACAAACACAUUCACUUGCUGGACUCUUUAGGGGAGAGAAGUAAUGUAAUGUUGUAUGAAGGAGUUUUCCUAAUAAAUGCCCUGUCUAUGGCUUAAACCUGGAAUUGACCAAAUGAAAGGGAGUGUGUUGCAUGUCUGUAGCCAGACUCUCCAGAGUGCAGAGCAGCCUAUAAGCUGUGGGACCUCUACCUGCGCACUAAGAAUGAGUUUGUCCAGCGGGGGGAUUAUGAUGACGAUGAUGAGGACGGGGACGAUGCACAAGAUAAUCCUGGAGAGUCGGAUGAGAAUGCACCCAGUUGCCUGAAGGAGGUCCUUGAGCAGCUGUUGGAUGCGGUGGUGAAAUUCUCAGAGCCCUCUGGCAUUUAGUCAGUGAUCUGUUCCAUAAACUACCAGUGACUAUUAUGCCAUAGUAAAGGACCCAAUAGAUCUGAAAAUCAUUUCCCAGAAGAUACAGAUGAGCCUCUACAGAAGUGUUAGCGCCAUGGCAAAAGACAUAGAUCUCCUGGCCAAGAAUGCCAAAACGUACAAUGGGCCUGGGUCACAGGUUUUUACGGAUGCCAACACCAUCAGAAAUAUUUUUUUCACAGAGAAAGACAGAAAUUGAGCAUGCUGAGCCCAUCAAAUCCGGCAUUCACAUCAAGGUCUGUCCACUAUGACGAGGGGGAGUCGGAGGCAGAGAGCAUCCACCACAGCAUGGACAUGAGUACCCCCAUCUUCCAGCUGUACGAGGCUGUGCGGGGCGGAAGGAACAGCCAGGGACAGCUUAUCGCCGAGCCUUUCCUCCAGCUGCCCUCCAGGAAUGACUACCCAGACUACUACCAGCAGAUCAGCCAGCCCAUCUCCCUGCAACAGAUUAGUAUUGCUUCAGGUGAGAAGUGGCUGUAUGGCUGCUGGUUCUACAGGCCAAAUUAAACAUUCCAUCUUGCUACACGCAAGUUCCUGGAGAAGGAAGUCUUCAAGAGCGACUACUUCAACAAGAUUCCCAUCAGCAUGAUACUGGGAAAAGGUGUUGUCAUGUUUGUCAAGCAGUGAAAGAUGUGCGACUGACCAAGGAGCAGGAGAGCCGGCUGCCGUCCCAUUGGCUGAAGAGCAAGGGCGCCCAUUCCACAAUGGCAGACUCACUGUGGCGUCUGCAAGACCUGAUGCUGCGUGACACACUGAACAUCCGCCAGACGAACAACCAGUAGGACAUCUGAGCCACUGCUCCCUACACUGUCAGACAGGAAAUGGGUUUAGGCUCAUUUGAAAAUGUGUAAAUGUUGUUUUGUUAUGUUACGUUAAUGUGGGCAUUCGUUUGUAGAAUGGUUAAAUUAGCUUGCUUACUCUGUUCAAGCUGUUUUGUGUUUGCAUUUUAAUUGUUCUAACAAGUGCAUUAUUGUAUUUAAUGUUUCUGUGAUGGAUAAAC
This is a non-coding RNA of Oncorhynchus mykiss (rainbow trout), 1616 nucleotides long. Lineage: Eukaryota; Metazoa; Chordata; Actinopteri; Salmoniformes; Salmonidae. The record is from RefSeq and is a predicted model, not a curated record.